Molecule: ribosomal RNA, 253 nt
Filed under: uncultured bacterium
Lineage: Bacteria
Description: partial 16S ribosomal RNA
Rfam family: Bacterial small subunit ribosomal RNA
Source: RNAcentral
UACGUAGGGGGCAAGCGUUGUCCGGAAUCAUUGGGCGUAAAGCGCGUGUAGGCGGCUCGGUAAGUCCGCUCUGAAAGUCCGGGGCUCAACCCCGGGAGGCGGGUGGAUACUGUCGAGCUCGAGUCCGGAAGAGGCGAGUGGAAUUCCUGGUGUAGCGGUGAGAUGCGCAGAUAUCAGGAGGAACACCGAUGGCGAAGGCAGCUCGCUGGGACGUGACUGACGCUGAGACGCGAAAGCGUGGGGAGCAAACAGG